GGCUCGGUAGCUUAGUUGGUAAAGCACUUGUCUAGCCAAUAAGGGUCGUGAGUUCAAAUCUCACCUGAGCUG
Molecule: non-coding RNA, 72 nt
Organism: Aedes albopictus (Asian tiger mosquito)
Lineage: Eukaryota; Metazoa; Arthropoda; Insecta; Diptera; Culicidae
Source: Rfam